This 466-nucleotide ribosomal RNA is filed under the name uncultured bacterium. RNAcentral describes it as "partial 16S ribosomal RNA". It matches the Rfam family "Bacterial small subunit ribosomal RNA", at positions 28 to 507 of the family's 1533-position model. The record is from RNAcentral.
GACGAACUCUGGCGGCGCGCCUAACACAUGCAAGUCGAACGAGCGAGAGAGAGCUUGCUUUCUCAAGCGAGUGGCGAACGGGUGAGUAACGCGUGAGGAACCUGCCUCAAAGAGGGGGACAACAGUUGGAAACGACUGCUAAUACCGCAUAAGCCCACAGGUCGGCAUCGACCAGAGGGAAAAGGAGCAAUCCGCUUUGAGAUGGCCUCGCGUCCGAUUAGCUAGUUGGUGAGGUAACGGCCCACCAAGGCAACGAUCGGUAGCCGGACUGAGAGGUUGAACGGCCACAUUGGGACUGAGACACGGCCCAGACUCCUACGGGAGGCAGCAGUGGGGAAUAUUGCACAAUGGGGGAAACCCUGAUGCAGCGACGCCGCGUGGAGGAAGAAGGUCUUCGGAUUGUAAACUCCUGUUGUUGAGGAAGAUAAUGACGGUACUCAACAAGGAAGUGACGGCUAACUACGUG